UUAGGUCAUAUUUGUAUGGAAUGGGAUCGUUUGCCUUCCUUUGCCGUUAGGGCUGCUGUUCCAGCUGCAUACAAAUUUGAGUUA
This is a non-coding RNA of Bombyx mori (domestic silkworm), 84 nucleotides long. The record is from Rfam. NCBI's taxonomy places the organism in Eukaryota, Metazoa, Arthropoda, Insecta, Lepidoptera, Bombycidae.